This 711-nucleotide small RNA is filed under the name Pongo abelii (Sumatran orangutan). RNAcentral describes it as "processed transcript". The record is from RNAcentral. Lineage: Eukaryota; Metazoa; Chordata; Mammalia; Primates; Hominidae.
GAGUGGGUGGCUAUCCAGCUGCUGCGCCAGUGUUUGUGUUGGAAGCUCAGCUGAUGCAGGCCGGUUGGAGUGGACGUCAUUGCCGGGAACGAGCGAGUCGCCGCUGCAGCCCUAGUGACUGCGGCCUGCAUCCCGGAAAGAAUUAUUCCAUAUUUAUUACGACUGAGACAAAUUAAGGAUGAAACUCUUCAGGCUGUAGUUAGAGAAAUUUUGGCCCUAAUUGGCUAUGUGGAUCCAGUGAAAGGGAGAGGAAUCCGAAUUCUCUCAAUUGAUGGUGGAGGAACAAGGGGCGUGGUUGCUCUCCAGACCCUACGAAAAUUAGUUGAACUUACUCAGAAGCCAGUUCAUCAGCUCUUUGAUUACAUUUGUGGUGUAAGCACAGGUGCCAUAUUAGCUUUCAUGUUGGGGUUGUUUCAUAUGCCCUUGGAUGAAUGUGAGGAACUUUAUCGAAAAUUAGGAUCAGAUGUAUUUUCACAAAAUGUCAUUGUUGGAACAGUCAAAAUGAGUUGGAGCCAUGCAUUUUAUGACAGUCAAACAUGGGAAAACAUUCUAAAGUAAGUUACAAUUACUCUUUUUAAAUGUUCUGAUUAUAUAGGUAGUAUGUGCAUAUUAUAAUUUGAAAAAUGUCAAUAUUAAAUUAUAUUCUUGCAUAUUAUAAUUUGAAAAAUAUCAAGAAUAUCAAAUUAUUUGACUAAUUAGAGAUAACCACUG